Molecule: ribosomal RNA, 467 nt
Filed under: uncultured bacterium
Lineage: Bacteria
Description: partial 16S ribosomal RNA
Rfam family: Bacterial small subunit ribosomal RNA
Source: RNAcentral
GAUGAACGCUGGCGGCGUGCUUAACACAUGCAAGUCGAACGGUGAAGGCGGAGCUUGCUCUGCUGGAUCAGUGGCGAACGGGUGAGUAACACGUGAGCAAUCUGCCCCUGACUCUGGGAUAAGCGCUGGAAACGGCGUCUAAUACUGGAUACGAGCUGCGAAGGCAUCUUCAGCAGCUGGAAAGAACUUCGGUCAGGGAUGAGCUCGCGGCCUAUCAGCUUGUUGGUGAGGUAACGGCUCACCAAGGCGUCGACGGGUAGCCGGCCUGGGAGGGUGACCGGCCACACUGGGACUGAGACACGGCCCAGACUCCUACGGGAGGCAGCAGUGGGGAAUAUUGCACAAUGGGCGAAAGCCUGAUGCAGCAACGCCGCGUGAGGGACGACGGCCUUCGGGUUGUAAACCUCUUUUAGCAGGGAAGAAGCGAAAGUGACGGUACCUGCAGAAAAAGCGCCGGCUAACUACGU